Long non-coding RNA from Oncorhynchus masou masou (cherry salmon), 1579 nucleotides. RefSeq lists it as uncharacterized. NCBI's taxonomy places the organism in Eukaryota, Metazoa, Chordata, Actinopteri, Salmoniformes, Salmonidae. The transcript has 3 exons. The record is from RefSeq and is a predicted model, not a curated record.
CAAAGCGCAUACAUUGGAGUGUUCUCAUUUCAACCCAGGUCAAGGCACAACAGUGAGUCAUGAAGAAAGCAGCUGCCUGGAACCAUCUGCUAGUGUGACCAUGCAUUCUGUAAUUAAGUCUGUCUCUGGACCCAACGGUUACCUUCCACAGGCGGGAGAGGUAGGAUUUUCACUGCUGUGCAGGAAACUGCAAUCGUUGAUAUGGUCAUCAGAAACAAUGGCAUAAAACUCACAGAGAUUCGGGACGAGUGUUGGCAGACAACAUUACAUUUGGAAAUAUUCAAAAUGUAAGCAUAACAACUAUUUCUAGAGUCCUGAAACAACAUCAAGUCAGGAUGAAGCAGUUGUACACUGUCCCCUUUGAGAGGAACUCGGAACGAGUCAAGCAACUCAGGAACCAAUAUGUCCAGAGAGUCAUGGAGAUUGAAGCCAGGCAAACACUCCACAUAUUCAUCUUUGUGGAUGAGGCUGGUUUCAACUUGGCCAAAACACGGCGGCAGAGGUAGGAAUGUGAUUGGGAAAAGAGCCACAGUGGAUGUCCCAGGCCAGAGGGGUGUCACAAUCACAAUGUGUGCAGCAAUAUCCUCUGAUGGAUUUCUGUUACACAAACCGCUAAUUGGACCACCGAGCGUCUCAUUUCAUUCCUGGAUGACCUCUAUGGAAGGGUUGUGCCAGGUGAGGAAAGGGUUGCAGUGAGGUGAAGUCGACAAACGUUUGUAAUUGUAUGGGACAAUGUGGCAUUUCACCAGUCCUGUGCAGUCAGACUGGUUUGCAGUCCAUCCCAGGAUGGUGUCACUUUUCCUCCCACCUCACUCUUCAUUCCUCAAUCCCAUAGAGGAAUUAUUUUCCUCGUGGAGGUGGAAGGUUUAUGACAUAAUCAAAUGUCCUUCCUGGACGCAAUUAAUUCUGGAUGCCUGGACAUAUCUGCAGAAGAUUUCCAGGGAUGGACCAGGCAUGCCGAAAUAUUAUUUCUUAGGUGUAUUACCCAAGAUGACAUGUGAUGUGGAUGAGAACCUGUGGCCAAAUGCAUGAGAAAGGGUUGACUAGCAUUGGUGUAUAUACAAAUUAUUGUAUAUACACUCAAUGCCAAAAAAAAAAAAAAACAUAUCAAAGCAUAUUGCAUCCUGUCUGAUUCAUUCCUAUAACAUAUACUGCAGUGAAUUCUAAGCAGUAGAGAGGUGUCAUUCUUGUUUUGUAAAGACAUUUUUACAAAAGAAAACAUUGUGUAAUACUGCCUGUUGUUAGUGUUUUUUAGGUAAUUGUUUUAUGAGUGACAAAGUGUGCUUGUUGGGUGACAACCUUUGCUAGUGUUAUGGAAGAAUGAGCUGAUUUGAGACAUGUAUGAAGUGUUUUGGUAGUUUUAGUGCAUUUUGGAUGUGAAAGUAACUGCUGUGCCAAGCUGAAAGUUGGUUAGGGGAACUAUGUGAAGAGUUUUGAAAAAGUGACCUAAGUAUUAGGAAAUGGGUCCUAGCGAUUGUAAAAAUAAAAAACUGUAAUUGAUAGAGCUAUGGCUGCAAGGACUGACCAUCCAUGAUAUCAACAUUAUAAUUAUUAUGUUAUGAGGCUAUACAGUGUUUGU